UGGACCUCAGAUCAGACAAGACCACC
Molecule: ribosomal RNA, 26 nt
Filed under: Lepidolejeunea bidentula
Lineage: Eukaryota; Viridiplantae; Streptophyta; Jungermanniopsida; Porellales; Lejeuneaceae
Description: partial 26S ribosomal RNA
Source: RNAcentral